RNAcentral lists this transfer RNA (76 nucleotides) under Cedecea neteri. Its description in RNAcentral is "tRNA-Glu". It matches the Rfam family "tRNA". From Rfam's summary of the family: Transfer RNA (tRNA) molecules are approximately 80 nucleotides in length. Their secondary structure includes four short double-helical elements and three loops (D, anti-codon, and T loops). Further hydrogen bonds mediate the characteristic L-shaped molecular structure. tRNAs have two regions of fundamental functional importance: the anti-codon, which is responsible for specific mRNA codon recognition, and the 3' end, to which the tRNAs corresponding amino acid is attached (by aminoacyl-tRNA synthetases). tRNAs cope with the degeneracy of the genetic code in two manners: having more than one tRNA (with a specific anti-codon) for a particular amino acid; and 'wobble' base-pairing, i.e. permitting non-standard base-pairing at the 3rd anti-codon position. Lineage: Bacteria; Pseudomonadati; Pseudomonadota; Gammaproteobacteria; Enterobacterales; Enterobacteriaceae. The record is from RNAcentral.
GCAUGAUUAGCUCAGAUGGUAGAGCGUCUGGCUUUCAAUCAGGAGAUCUGGGGUUCGAAUCCCUCGGUCUGCACCA